GCGCUGCCAAUCCCGCCCCGCUGGCCAGCUGGGUGGCCCGGCCCGGCUGCGGCUCUUUGUGUCGCGGCGCAGAGGCCGGCCGGGCUCGGGUCCCGGAGCGCGCCGCGUGGGAUGCGCGCCGCAGGGACCAGGCGCCGCCAUGAGCCCAGAUAGCACCAAGCUGCUGGGGAACCAGCCACCUGUCUACGGGACGCUUCUGCACGGCUCUAGUAAAUCCUGCAUGGAGGUGAGCGGCUACCAAAGCAGAACAUGGCGGAUCAUCCUUUGCUACGUGUUCUCCGUGCUGACAGCAG
Pelodiscus sinensis (Chinese soft-shelled turtle) is the source of this 293-nucleotide non-coding RNA. The record is from RefSeq and is a predicted model, not a curated record. NCBI's taxonomy places the organism in Eukaryota, Metazoa, Chordata, Testudines, Trionychidae.